UGAGCCAAGCCUGUCACCCGAAC
RNAcentral lists this non-coding RNA (23 nucleotides) under Mus musculus (house mouse). The record is from RNAcentral. Lineage: Eukaryota; Metazoa; Chordata; Mammalia; Rodentia; Muridae.